GCAAAAUGGGAGCAAUAAACUGUGUCUGUUUUAAGAACAAAUUUUCAAAAUAGCACAGCCAGAUUCAUGGCAACCUUGAGUAUCCCCCCAUUCAAGUGCUGUCGCAGCGAAUUAUGACAGAUUCCAUUUGGGAUUGCCCCACCAACAGCACGGCAAGUGUCCCUCAUCUUGAGGCUCUGCCCACUUCCUGUCGUCGGUUUUCAAUUUGCAUUUGCUGCAGCCACGGCUCCUCAUCUGGAACCGUCUGUAGCUCUGAUAAAUGAUUUCUUUUUAAUGCUUCGAUGGGCCCAACCAAACGGAGCCCGUCCAAACCUACAGCUUCCAUUUGCAACAGUCGGAUGAGAACGAAGGGACGGGAGGAAGUGGUGGAUAUUCUGGACGGUGGACGGAGUCGCACAACCACGACAAGAUGACGACGACAACCAUGAUGGGCAAGGAGCAGGAGCAGGGGAAGAUGCAGAUCUAGGGAUACGAAUUGGGACCCAAACAAUGUCAGUCACAGGACUGUAAACCAUGUACUUUAAACUUUACUUUAAACAAUGCAUGAAGAGUUGAGAUUAUAUAAAAACAAAGAUGCACAAUGACGGUUGUCACUGAGAAAUACUUGCGGUCACGGCUAUGAAAUGGUAUUGGUUUGUUUCACUCAAGGCUUCACUGCAUGACAAGUUUCUGGUCAAAAGGAUAAUGCUCGGAACGGGCAGAAAGGCAAGGACAUGGGCAAAUUGAAGUGCCAGUGGGUGUGAGAAGUGGCUGCCCAUAAAAGGCAGCAAAACACAUUCGCACACACAGACAUGCAGGAGUAACCAAAAAAAAAUAAAAAAAAUAUAGUACAAAAACCGCAAAAUAAGCAAAAGACAUUUCAACAUCAUCCCGCUCAAUUUUCCAUCUCUUUUCCCGCUCGGCUGGAUUUCCUUUUGUUACACUUACUCCUGCUCACUGUUUUCAUUUCCUUCAGCUCGUGGACAUAUGUAAAUAUGAGUGCAGCAGAGCAAUCAUAACAAAAAUGCUGCACACUCAAAUUAUCCCUAAAUAAUUUAGAUCUGUGCGGGCGAACAAACUGGGCAACUUUACCUUUUGAAGCCUGUGUGUGCGAUGCUGAUUUCGGGUUUGCUUAUCUUUCAUUUCAUAUUUUUGGCCGAAAGGGAAGCGGAAGAGGCAGAGGAGGCGGCAGUGGCGGCGGAGGAGGAGAAGAUGGUGGUGGUGGAAGAGGA
Drosophila teissieri is the source of this 1211-nucleotide long non-coding RNA. RefSeq lists it as uncharacterized. The record is from RefSeq and is a predicted model, not a curated record. Lineage: Eukaryota; Metazoa; Arthropoda; Insecta; Diptera; Drosophilidae. The transcript has 3 exons.